UCUCGUAUACUGUAAUUUGAAAAACAUUUUGCUUUUUCGAUUCUCUUUUCUUUUUAAAAAACUUUUCUUUUUCUUCUUAUCUUUGCUUCUUCUUCUUUCUUUCCUUUUUCCCUCCCUUUUGGCAAUAUCCGAAUCAUAUACUCUAAUAUCAAUGAUACAGAAGUUUAACCAACAAUUCGGCAUAUAUUUGAUUAUUAUCCGUAUGAUUAUAUAUUUCCGCGUAAAGCUACUCUAUAAUAUUAAUCUCUUUUAUUACAAUUCAUUUUAUACAUUGAUUAAUAAAUUAAUUUGCAUCAGAGAGCGGUUUUAAUAUUUGAAUUCACAGAAAAGACGGAUGAUUUCGGCUUCCAAAAUGGUCUCUCAAGAGUCAAGAUGUUGAGAAAUCCACCCAAAAUAUGAAAACAUAUAUAAAUCGCAAA
RNAcentral lists this long non-coding RNA (419 nucleotides) under Solanum tuberosum (potato). Its description in RNAcentral is "long non-coding RNA (STUB_LNC003250)". Lineage: Eukaryota; Viridiplantae; Streptophyta; Magnoliopsida; Solanales; Solanaceae. The record is from RNAcentral.